This is a long non-coding RNA of Acanthochromis polyacanthus (spiny chromis), 1038 nucleotides long. RefSeq lists it as uncharacterized. Lineage: Eukaryota; Metazoa; Chordata; Actinopteri; Pomacentridae. The record is from RefSeq and is a predicted model, not a curated record. The transcript is spliced from 4 exons.
UUCGGCACUUAAGGGAAAAGUUAAGGGGAAAUGAAAUGAACGUGCGGUGCGACAGUUUAUCCACUGAUUAUCUGUUUUUUUCGACACUUCUUGAUGUGUAAACAUUUUAGACAUUUGGGUAAGACAUUAACUAUGCCUGACAAGAGCUAUUGUAUUUGUAAAAUUUGUAUUUUAUUUGUGAAAACGUUUAAGGGGAUAUUUCACCGUUUUUGCUUUAUAACCAGUCCUUAUUAGACCAGGUCCAGAUUGAAAACCACUGUACCUACACUCCUCACAUCUGUACUCAACUAUUCUACAGAGCCUGAAAAUUCAUAAAAACAUAGUCUCUGAUUUGUGAAAACUUUAUUCUAUUUGUGAAAAUGCAAUAAAGGCACAUUUUACAGUUUUUUUCUCAUCCAGACCACAUUAGACCAGGUCCAGGUCGAGAACCGCUACACGUAGACUCUUCAAAUCUGGACUGAAUUAUUCUACAGAGCCUGUAGAUUCAUAAAAACAUAGUCUCUGAUUUGUGAAAACUUUAUUCUAUUUGUGAAAAUGCAAUAAAGGCACAUUUUACUGUUUUUUUCUCAUCCAGACCACAUUAGACCAGGUCCAGGUCGAGAACCGCUACACUUAGACUCUUCAAAUUUAGACUGAAUUAUUCUACAGAGCCUGUAGAUUCAUAAAAACAUAGUCUCUGAUUUGUGAAAACUUUAUUCUAUUUGUGAAAAUGCAAUAAAGGCACAUUUUACAGUUUUUUUCUCAUCCAGACCACAUUAGACCAGGUCCAGCUCGAGAACCGCUACACUUAGACUCUUCAAAUCUGGACUGAAUUAUUCUACAGAGCCUCUGAAUUCAUAAAAACAUAGUCUCUGAUUUGUGAAAACUUUAUUCUAUUUGUGAAAAUGCAAUAAAUGCACAUUUUACUGUUUUUUCAGCAUAUAGACCACAUUAGACCAGGUCCAGGUCGAGAACCGCUACACGUAGACUCUUCAAAUCUGGACUGAAUUAUUCUACAGAGCCUGUAGAUUCAUAAAAACAUAGUCUCUGAUUUGUGAA